AUUGAACGCUGGCGGCAUGCCUUACACAUGCAAGUCGAACGGCAGCGGACCUUCGGGUGCCGGCGAGUGGCGAACGGGUGAGUAAUAUAUCGGAACGUACCUUUCAGUGGGGGAUAACGUAGCGAAAGUUACGCUAAUACCGCAUAUUCUGUGAGCAGGAAAGCAGGGGAUCGCAAGACCUUGCGCUGAUUGAGCGGCCGAUAUCAGAUUAGCUAGUUGGUGAGGUAAAGGCUCACCAAGGCGACGAUCUGUAGCGGGUCUGAGAGGAUGAUCCGCCACACUGGAACUGAGACACGGUCCAGACUCCUACGGGGGGCAGCAGUGGGGAAUUUUGGACAAUGGGCGCAAGCCUGAUCCAGCCAUGCCGCGUGAGUGAAGAAGGCCUCGG
This 388-nucleotide ribosomal RNA is filed under the name uncultured bacterium. RNAcentral describes it as "bacterial SSU rRNA". It matches the Rfam family "Bacterial small subunit ribosomal RNA", at positions 30 to 420 of the family's 1533-position model. The record is from RNAcentral.